Molecule: long non-coding RNA, 1048 nt
Organism: Megachile rotundata (alfalfa leafcutting bee)
Lineage: Eukaryota; Metazoa; Arthropoda; Insecta; Hymenoptera; Megachilidae
Source: RefSeq, a predicted model, not a curated record
GGAGAUUUCAUUGAAAUGGUCGUGAGAGAAUCAGGAGAGCCAAGAAGCACGGCGAUGCCGGGCUCGCCACGCGAAAACCACGAGAACGAGGCGAAGCGUGUCGGGGCGAGGAGGUGGGAGGUGGAAGGGGCAGAGUGAGGGCAGCAUAGCUGCGUAACAUUGUAGCGUAUAUAGUAGAGAGUGGAUCGAAGGAUCUCGAGGAAGGCAUCGGCGGCCCCCAAAGCUCGUUGGCUGUCGUAGCAAGCGUAGACCGAGCAUACCAGCCAGUCUGGCCGCCUGGCUGGCUGGCCAGCCGGUCGAUCAAUAUUGCCAUGGCUACGACGUGCAACGUGGAGGAGAAAGAAGAGGAGGAGGUGGCGGUGGAGGAGGCGGAGUAGGUGGCGGCUGGCUGGCUACAGAGAAUGCCGGUGGAGGGGUGGUUGCUCAUAUUCCGGUUACACACCGGAGGGUUGAGAACCAGAUCUGAUUCCGAGGGGCGGGGGCCUCGAUGUACGGAGGUUACAACGUAGUAGUAGAGAAAUACGUACUGCUACGUCACGAGACCUACACCUUGCCCCACCAACCCAACCACCCACCUCCGUUCUACUCGAGCGAUUCAUGACGACGUAGAAACUGCCGCUUCUCUCGUGAGCCCACCCCGCGAGCUUCGAAAGAAACGCUGACACGACCCGGACGAAAUGAGCUGGUUCUGGAAGAAACGUCGCAACUAAUUUUGAUGGCGAUAUGCACCGAGGGACGGGUCGGAAACGGCGAUAUAGCGAGGCGUGAUGAAAUGAAGGGAAAGCAACUGCUAAAGGCACAAAAAAGUAAGAAGACGGCGAAAAUAAAUAAUUGCGUGGAAGUUCGACAUUGAACUUAAUCGAUCUUCGACUACCAGGUUCAUUUCUUGCGCGCAAACUUGGCGAAGCGAAACAAGGCAUCUUCGAAUCAACAUUAUCAAUGUUUCCGCUUCGAGUACCAAUUCCAAUGAGCAACGGAGGUUGCUUUCAAACUCUGCUGCCAAUCGGUGUACAGGGUGUUCUAUAAAUCGUGUUACAACCAAACGCAA